CCUUAAAGAACCUGCCUUUGUAGUGCUCACACAGAUUGUCUGAUGAACGUAAAGAAGCAAGGCGUCUUGCGAUUGAGACUUCAGUGUCCCCUUCGUCUAGAGGCCCAGGACACCGCCCUUUCACGGCGGUAACAGGGGUUCGAAUCCCCUAGGGGACGCCACUUGCUGGUUCGUGAGUGAAAGACGCGUGCCGACGUAUCUCAAAACUCAUCUUCGGGUGACGUUUGAGAUAUUUGCUCUUUAAAAAUCUGGAUCAAGCUGAAAAUUGAAACGACACACAGUUAAUGUGUGUUCGAGUCUCUCAAAUUUUCGCAAUCAGAAGUGAAACAUCUUCGGGUUGUGA
RNAcentral lists this unclassified non-coding RNA (343 nucleotides) under Klebsiella pneumoniae. RNAcentral describes it as "partial 16S-23S ribosomal RNA intergenic spacer". The stretch from base 239 to 336 matches the Rfam family "Salmonella enterica Typhi npcRNA 44". The record is from RNAcentral. Lineage: Bacteria; Pseudomonadati; Pseudomonadota; Gammaproteobacteria; Enterobacterales; Enterobacteriaceae.